Molecule: long non-coding RNA, 698 nt
Filed under: Nicotiana benthamiana
Lineage: Eukaryota; Viridiplantae; Streptophyta; Magnoliopsida; Solanales; Solanaceae
Description: long non-coding RNA (NBEN_LNC012849)
Source: RNAcentral
CAGACUAAAAAAGCAGGGCUCUACAUGUUUCAAGUAGUGUUCUGUGUUUCCGUUCUACAACACCAUUCUGUUGAGGUGAAUGAGGGCAAGAAGUUUGAUGAAUAAUCCCCUGGCUACUAAAAAAGGAUAUGCCCUCAGUGCUGGAGCCCAAUUCUAAGGCUUUGUCACUUCUGACAGUCUGAACCACAGAGUUAAACUGAGUCUAAACAAAGGAAAUGAACGACUUAAGCAGAGAAAAGGCAUUGCUUUUGGAUCCCAUUAAGUGUGUCCAGGUUGCCCUAGAAAAGUCAUCAACUAUAGUAAGGAAGUAUUUAUAAUGUCUGAACCACAGAGUUAAACUGAGUCUUAACAAAGGAAAUGGAAGACUUAAGCAGAGAAAAGGCAUUUCUUUUGGAUCCCAUUAAGUGUGUCCAGGUUGCCCUAGAAAAGUCAUCAACUAUAGUAAGGAAGUAUUUAUAACCAGAAGAAGUAGAAGUGUGGUAAGGUCCCUAAGUGUCCACAUGUAUUAAUUGAAAUGGUCUAGUUGUACUGAUACUGCUGUCAUGAAAGGGAAGUCUUGUCUGCUUUGCCAUAGGGCAGACAGAACAGGGAAAGGGUUGUUUAGGAGCAAGGGGAAAAGACAAACCAGAAAUAUGUCUCAUACUAGUAAAGGGAGUAUGUGCCAGUCUUAAAUGCCAAAUGUAAUUCAUAUCAUUGAU